CCUACGGGGGGCAGCAGUGAGGAAUAUUGGUCAAUGGCCGGAAGCCUGAACCAGCCAUGCCGCGUGAAGGUCAGUGCCCUAUGGGCGUUAAACUUCUUUUGUGCGGGAGCAAUAAUGGUCACGUGUGGCCAGAAGAGAGUACCGUACGAAUAAGCAUCGGCUAACUCAGUGCCAGCAGCCGCGGUAAUAAGGGGGAGGCAAGCGUUCUCCGGCUUUAUUGGGUUUAAAGGGUGCGUAGGCUGUGAGGUAAGUCAGCGGUGAAAUGCCCCCGCUCAACGGGGUGAAGUGCCAUUGAUACUGCCUUGCUGGAAUGCGGAUGCGGUGGGAUGAAUGUGUGGUGUAGCGGUGAAAUGCAUAGAUAUCACACAGAACACCGAUUGCGAAGGCAUCUCACGAAUCCGCGAUUGACGCUGAUGCACGAAAGCGUGGGUAUCAAACAGGAUUAGAUACCCGUGUAGUC
This 460-nucleotide ribosomal RNA is filed under the name uncultured bacterium. RNAcentral's name for it is "partial 16S ribosomal RNA". It matches the Rfam family "Bacterial small subunit ribosomal RNA", at positions 338 to 795 of the family's 1533-position model. The record is from RNAcentral.